Molecule: ribosomal RNA, 391 nt
Filed under: uncultured bacterium
Lineage: Bacteria
Description: bacterial SSU rRNA
Rfam family: Bacterial small subunit ribosomal RNA
Source: RNAcentral
GACGAACGCUGGCGGCGUGCUUAACACAUGCAAGUCGAGCGGUAAGGCCCUUUCGGGGGUACGACGAGCGGCGAACGGGUGAGUAACACGUGGGUGACCUGCCCUCAGCUCUGGGAGUAAGCCUGGGAAACCGGGGUCUAAUACCGGAUAUGACUCCAUGACGCAUGUUGUGGGGUGGAAAGCCUUGUGCGGCUGAGGAUGGGCCCGCGGCCUAUCAGCUUGUUGGUGGGGUGAUGGCCUACCAAGGCGACGACGGGUAGCCGGCCUGAGAGGGCGACCGGCCACACUGGGACUGAGACACGGCCCAGACUCCUACGGGAGGGCAGCAGUGGGGAAUCUUGCGCGAUGGGCGAAAGCCUGACGCAGCGACGCCGCGUGAGGGAUGACGGCC